GACGAACGCUGGCGGCGUGCUUAACACAUGCAAGUCGAACGGACAGGCCCUGCUCUUGUGGGGUGCUCGAGUGGCGAACGGGUGAGUAACACGUGAGUAACCCGCCCUUGACUUUGGGAUAAAUUCAGGAAACUGGGGCUCAUACCGGAUAGGAGCUCCUGCUGCAUGGUGGGGGUUGGUAAGUUUCGGCGGUUGGGGAUGGACUCGCGGCUUAUCAGCUUGGUGGUGGGGUAGUGGCUUACCAAGGUUUUGACGGGUAGCAGGCCUGAGAGGGUGACCGGCCACAUUGGGACUGAGAGACGGCCCAGACUCCUACGGGAGGCAGCAGGGGGGAAUAUUGCACAAUGGGCGGAAGCCUGAGGCAGCGACGCCGCGUGCGGGAUGACGGCCUACGGGUGGUAAACCGCUGUCGCCUGAGACGAAGCGUGAGUGACGGUAAUGAGUAAAGAAGCACCGGCUAACUACGUG
RNAcentral lists this ribosomal RNA (468 nucleotides) under uncultured bacterium. RNAcentral describes it as "partial 16S ribosomal RNA". It matches the Rfam family "Bacterial small subunit ribosomal RNA", at positions 28 to 507 of the family's 1533-position model. The record is from RNAcentral.